RNAcentral lists this ribosomal RNA (406 nucleotides) under uncultured bacterium. RNAcentral describes it as "partial 16S ribosomal RNA". It matches the Rfam family "Bacterial small subunit ribosomal RNA", at positions 30 to 526 of the family's 1533-position model. The record is from RNAcentral.
AUUGAACGCUGGCGGCAGGCCUAACACAUGCAAGUCGAACGAGUGGCGGACGGGUGAGUAAUGUCUGGGAAACUGCCUGAUGGAGGGGGAUAACUACUGGAAACGGUAUCUAAUACCGCAUACCAUCCGCUGUGCCCAGAUGGGAUUAGCUAGUAGGUGGGGUAACGGCUCACCUAGGCGACGAUCCCUAGCUGGUCUGAGAGGUUGACCAGCCACACGGGAACUGAGACACGGCCCAGACUCAUACGGGAGGCAGCAGUGGGGAAUAUUGCACAAUGGGCGAAAGCCUGAUGCAGCCAUGCCGCGUGUAUGAAGAAGGCUUUCGGGUUGUAAAGUACUGUCAGCGGGGAGGCGUUACCCACAGAAGAAGCACCGGCUAACUCCGUGCCAGCAGCCGCGGUAAUAC